Molecule: long non-coding RNA, 208 nt
Filed under: Nicotiana benthamiana
Lineage: Eukaryota; Viridiplantae; Streptophyta; Magnoliopsida; Solanales; Solanaceae
Description: long non-coding RNA (NBEN_LNC025309)
Source: RNAcentral
CUCCCAUUGAGAGAGAGAGCACAAACUUGUUCUUGUAUAUCAAGUGGAAAACCAAUCUUCACAUUUGUCUUGGAUAUCAAGUGAAAGCCAAAACUUCAAGACAAUCUUCAAGAAGGAUCAAGGAGCUUCCAAAGGCAAACUUUGAACAAUCUCAAGAAGGAUUAAGGAGCUUCCACUUAUGGAUUCAGGUACGCUUCCGCUUAUGUUG